This 468-nucleotide ribosomal RNA is filed under the name uncultured bacterium. Its description in RNAcentral is "partial 16S ribosomal RNA". It matches the Rfam family "Bacterial small subunit ribosomal RNA", at positions 28 to 507 of the family's 1533-position model. The record is from RNAcentral.
GACGAACGCUGGCGGCGUGCUUAACACAUGCAAGUCGAACGGAAAGGCCCUGCUUUUGUGGGGUGCUCGAGUGGCGAACGGGUGAGUAACACGUGAGUAACCUGCCCUUGACUUUGGGAUAACUUCAGGAAACUGGGGCUAAUACCGGAUAGGAGCUCCUGCUGCACGGUGGGGGUUGGAAAGUUUCGGCGGUUGGGGAUGGACUCGCGGCUUAUCAGCUUGUUGGUGGGGUAGUGGCUUACCAAGGCUUUGACGGGUAGCCGGCCUGAGAGGGUGACCGGCCACAUUGGGACUGCGAUACGGCCCAGACUCCUACGGGAGGCAGCAGUGGGGAAUAUUGCACAAUGGGCGGAAGCCUGAUGCAGCAACGCCGCGUGCGGGAUGACGGCCUUCGGGUUGUAAACCGCUUUCGCCUGUGACGAAGCGUGAGUGACGGUAAUGGGUAAAGAAGCACCGGCUAACUACGUG